This 253-nucleotide ribosomal RNA is filed under the name uncultured bacterium. Its description in RNAcentral is "partial 16S ribosomal RNA". It matches the Rfam family "Bacterial small subunit ribosomal RNA", at positions 524 to 776 of the family's 1533-position model. The record is from RNAcentral.
UACGGAGGGGGCUAGCGUUGUUCGGAAUUACUGGGCGUAAAGCGCACGUAGCCGGCUUUGUAAGUUAGAGGUGAAAGCCCGGGGCUCAACUCCGGAACUGCCUUUAAGACUGCAUCGCUUGAAUCCAGGAGAGGUGAGUGGAAUUCCGAGUGUAGAGGUGAAAUUCGUAGAUAUUCGGAAGAACACCAGUGGCGAAGGCGGCUCACUGGACUGGUAUUGACGCUGAGGUGCGAAAGCGUGGGGAGCAAACAGG